GACGAACGCUGGCGGCGCUGCCUAAUACAUGCAAGUCGAGCGGACAGAUGGGAGCUUGCUCCCUGAUGUUAGCGGCGGACGGGUGAGUAACACGUGGGUAACCUGCCUGUAAGACUGGGAUAACUCCCGGGAAACCGGGGCUAAUACCGGAUGGUUGUUUGAACCGCAUGGUUCAAACAUAAAAGGUGGCUUCGGCUACCACUUACAGAUGGACCCGCGGCGCAUUAAGCUAGUUGGUGAGGUAACGGCUCACCAAGGCAACGAUUGCGUAGCCGACCUGAGAGGGUGAUCGGCCACACUGGGACUGAGACACGGCCCAGACUCCUACGGGAGGCAGCAGUAGGGAAUCUUCCGCAAUGGACGAAAGUCUGACGGAGCAACGCCGCGUGAGUGAUGAAGGUUUUCGGAUCGUAAAGCUCUGUUGUUAGGGAAGAACAAGUACCGUUCGAAUAGGGCGGUACUUGACGGUAAUAACAGAAGCACGGCUAACUACGUGCACAGCG
This 503-nucleotide ribosomal RNA is filed under the name Bacillus subtilis. RNAcentral's name for it is "bacterial SSU rRNA". It matches the Rfam family "Bacterial small subunit ribosomal RNA", at positions 28 to 516 of the family's 1533-position model. The record is from RNAcentral. Lineage: Bacteria; Bacillati; Bacillota; Bacilli; Caryophanales; Bacillaceae.